RNAcentral lists this ribosomal RNA (217 nucleotides) under Campeiostachys nutans. Its description in RNAcentral is "Elymus nutans partial small subunit ribosomal RNA". The stretch from base 40 to 217 matches the Rfam family "Eukaryotic small subunit ribosomal RNA", at positions 686 to 864 of the family's 1831-position model. Lineage: Eukaryota; Viridiplantae; Streptophyta; Magnoliopsida; Poales; Poaceae. The record is from RNAcentral.
GGGUCAGUAGGUUGGUCAUGCCACUGGUAUGUACUGGUCUCACUGAUUCCUCCUUCCUGAUGAACUGUAAUGCCAUUAAUUUGGUGUUGCAGGGAGUCUGGACUGUUACUUUGAAAAAAUUAGAGUGCUUAAAGCAGGUUAUCGCCUGAAUACAUUAGCAUGGAAUAAUGAAAUAUGACGGCAUGGUUCUAUUUUGUUGGUUUCUAGGAUCACCGUA